Molecule: long non-coding RNA, 174 nt
Organism: Sander lucioperca (pikeperch)
Lineage: Eukaryota; Metazoa; Chordata; Actinopteri; Perciformes; Percidae
Exons: 3
Source: RefSeq, a predicted model, not a curated record
CAGUUUCUUGUGGCGUCGCUAUGACGACCAGCCACACUCGCCUCAGGCAUGAGGCGGUACUAAAUCUGCAAUGGAAAAUGGAGGACGGGGCACCAUGGUCGAGCCGAGUAGAGUCGAGUCGAGUAGGUACCACUUAAUGGAAAAACGCCAUAAUUGUGGAACUUCAAACAGGAA